This is a non-coding RNA of Leptonychotes weddellii (Weddell seal), 376 nucleotides long. NCBI's taxonomy places the organism in Eukaryota, Metazoa, Chordata, Mammalia, Carnivora, Phocidae. The record is from RefSeq and is a predicted model, not a curated record.
UCCUCAGGUAUGUCUAAACUGACUGGAGAUGACCUAAGAAAUUAUGAAGGUGUCUGUCCUGGCUUGGGAUGCCACUCUAAUUUCCAGGUGUGUCUACACUGACCUGGGAGGUCUUCCUCAGGUGUGUCUACUCUGCCCAGAGAUGUCUCCUAGGUCUGAGGAGAAGGAUGGGAUCCAGAGAAGACUGCUAAUGGCUUUGGGGACAACAAGAAGCACAGGUGCUGGUACCUGCUGAACUCUUUGAGUUCUUGGUCUUUCUCAUGUCUCCACAGGCCAUGGUUUCUGGUGACCCAGAUGGGACCCACUGGGACACCUCACUUGCUCUGGAGCCUGCAGACAGGAUACUGAGGAACCUGGCAGAAGCUGGCAAAGAGAG